CAGUAGCCGCGGUAAUACGUAGGGGGCAAGCGUUGUCCGGAAUUAUUGGGCGUAAAGCGCGCGCAGGCGGUUUUUUAAGUCUGGUGUCUAAGUGCGGGGCCCAACCCCGUGACGCACUGGAAACUGGGAGACUUGAGUGCAGAAGAGGAGAGCGGAAUUCCACGUGUAGCGGUGAAAUGCGUAGAGAUGUGGAGGAACACCAGUGGCGAAGGCGGCUCUCUGGACUGUAACUGACGCUGAGGCGCGAAAGCGUGGGGAGCAAACAGGAUUAGAUACCCCUGUAGUCCCUGUCUCUUAUACA
Molecule: ribosomal RNA, 301 nt
Filed under: uncultured bacterium
Lineage: Bacteria
Description: partial 16S ribosomal RNA
Rfam family: Bacterial small subunit ribosomal RNA
Source: RNAcentral